Camellia sinensis is the source of this 1464-nucleotide non-coding RNA. Lineage: Eukaryota; Viridiplantae; Streptophyta; Magnoliopsida; Ericales; Theaceae. The record is from RefSeq and is a predicted model, not a curated record.
UUUUAGCCUUUUUUUUUUGUGUUUUUUUCGAAAGAAGCAGUUCGGAACCGUUACGUAACGGUACGUAACAGGCCGUUACGGUUGUUACGGCACCGUUAUGACUGCUAUGGCAGCCGCUACGGCUAACACACCUGUAAAUCACACUGCAAAAGCGGCCGUAACGGGUGGCGGUAACCACCACAACCGUCACGUAACAGUUGUGGCCGCUUUUUAAAACCUUGAUCACAAGCAUUUGAAUGCUAGUAGCCGGGAUCACCCAAGAAAUCUCCACCACCUGAAAUAACAUGUACCAUGAGAACAAUAUCAGUAGACAAUGCAAACAAAGGUGAUCCAUGGAUUCCUCAUUCGUACUCCACAUUAUACACCAUUGAGGACGAAGAAUGCAAUUAGGCCUUGUUUCCCCUAAAAAUGUCAUUAGUCAUAAGACUAUGACGGGCCUUUUAAUAUAAAUAAUUUAAGAUGCUAUGAGAGGAAUCUAGUUGCUCUGAUAUUUCCUUGUGGCAAAUUCUUCCCAGUGAGCCUGGUGACUAUCUGCAAAGCUUUCAUUCAUCUAAUUGCAGCACUUUCUUUGUGAGUUAUUAUGUUAUGCACAAAGUAGUUUUUGAUACUUGAGCCAAUUAGCUUCUGAGUCAAAUCUGAUUUAUUUUCUGGACAUGAGCUUACAAUGACUUUUUCUGUAGCAUUUGAAAGAUCAGGAAUAGGCAAUGUCAGACCAAUUGGGCUCCGAUAAUAAAAAUUGGGAAUGCAAGAAGAGAAGGACAAGAAAAUCCAGGAACUAUACAAUGAACUGCAGCAUGAAAGAGAACGAUCAGCAGCACUCCGGGAACAGCUACACGAGAUUCUUAAAAAUCUUGACGAGCAUUCUGAGUUCAUGUCUAUUAGAGUUGAAGAUAUAUCUAACAUCAUGAAACAAAUUGAACUCAACAAUGAUUAGCUUCAGUGGCACUACUGAUAGGUUUCUUCUGAUAGAGAUUGGUCAGGCAUACACAUAAUUUCGUUAUGACCCAUUUACCCAAGUAGAGAGCAUCAACAUGACUUGACUACCAUGACUGUUUGUCAUCUGAGAAGGUCUCUACCAUCAUGAAGACAGUUUGCUGGCAACCCAAUAUUACUAGAUGGAAUUUUUGCUCGAUAAAAAGAGCUAGGUGUAGGUGACCGCCACGUGGCGAUCCUCACUCCUUGGGGGCAUGAUUAAUAGAUCGAUUUUGGGGACUCUAUAUUUCAUCCCUUGUUAAGUGUCAUUCCCAAUUGAACACCAUGAAAAUAGUUCUAAUGUGUUCAUUAUCUGAAGUUGUAUUAAUACGUUAUUUCAAUUGAUCAUCGAGAAGGUUGAAAUAACAUUCCACUCUCUCUCUCUCUCUGAGUGUUUGAUUUUGUUAUAGAACUUGUUUUGGGCAUUGUAAGAGCAUUAUUAGAUGGCUUCUCGUGUUCAUGUUUGAGCUUCUUAUUAAGUGCAUUUUCUCA